This 683-nucleotide long non-coding RNA is filed under the name Olea europaea (common olive). Its description in RNAcentral is "long non-coding RNA (OEUR_LNC008847)". The record is from RNAcentral. Lineage: Eukaryota; Viridiplantae; Streptophyta; Magnoliopsida; Lamiales; Oleaceae.
UUAAAGCUCCUGCACAAUUGAAAUAUGAAGAGAUGUGUAAUGGUUUUGUGGAGUUAGCAAAUCUUGUUGUAGAUGACGAGCAGCAUUCGCGUUCGAUAAUGGAAUGGAUAACAGUUCAAUGUAAAGACUUUACGACCACGAAAUCGAGUGCAGGAAGUAAUUCCAGUUUACAAAACACUGCUCAGGUGGAAGAUCAAAGUAGUGAUUUACCAAAAUUGCUAGUGUGAGCGCAUCGGAUCCGAAGUUGACUCGAAGAAAGGGAACGCCAAGGAAACUAGACAAAAAAGUCCAUUGGAGAUUGCAUAGAAGAAAAUGAAGGUAUGUUCGAUUGAGUAAUUUAUGAGUUGCAACUGUUUUGAAAUACAAAUCAUAGUUACCUUUUAUCCACAUGCAGUGUGGUUCGACAUCAAGCGCUUGUAGAAGACCAAGAACAAGCCAAAGAAAUAUGACUAAUGGAGGAAACAACGUUGAGCCACCUCAACAACAAUAACAACAAUAAGUGUUGACACCAAUGCCCUUCUCCCUUUCACAAUACCCAUCCCGACACCAUUCUCCCUCUCACAACAUUUAUCCGUUGCAAACUUCAUCUAUUCGACGCAAAUGGCGAACUUCAUGGACAUUUCACAAGGUGUAAAAGUUUCUCUUAUACAUGAAUUAAAACUUCAUUUCAUCAUGAUUGACUC